AGAGUCUAGGAGAAAUCUGACAGGUCAAAGGGUACGAGGGAAAUGUCGAAAACCGGGAGGAACUCAGCAAGACCUGUUUGUUCAGCCCCUUCCUGGCAUCCCUGGCUUCAGAGGUUCUGAAGGCUGGAAGUCCAAGAUCAAGAUGCCGACAUAUUCAGUGUCUGGUGAGACCCCUCUUCCUGGUUCAUAAGACAGUGUCUUCUCACUGUGUGAGAGGUGCUGCCAAACUGUUGAUUUCCUUCAAGUCCUGAUCUUUCUUUAUUCAGAUAAGUUUGCAGGGGGAGGGCUUCCAUUUCUACACACCAGAUAGAAUGCAUUUCCUUUUCACCUAUUUAGGCUAAUGGCUUUUCAGUGUUAUGCAGAGUAAAGAAAUUAUUUGGCUUCUAUUCAGAAGACAAUUUGGUUUGAAAAAGAAAAGGCUAAUUCCAGCAUAAUCAUUAAAUGAAAAUGAGAAAGUUUAGCACAAAUUUUAAAAAAACCCAAAAAACAAAGAAAGAAAGAAAGAAAGAAAAGUCAGUUGAAGAUUUUCUAGGAAUUACAAAUUGUUCUGCUCUGUUUAGGUUUAGAUAAGCUUCUCAUUACUUCCCAAGCUGAUAGAGUCUUUGACAAGGAUUUUCUUAUGGGUGGAGGUUUUCCUAAUACUUCACUUUGCUGUUAAUACAUUUCUUUUUUAAGCUGAAUUUGUCUUUGGAAAAUUGGUUAAACUUAUGACCCUGGAAGUCUGGUCUGUCUUGGAGAGAGAAAUGAACUUGAAAAGAAUUACUGUGAAGUGAGGGAUACAAGCCUUUAACAUAUGAAAAUUAAAAUAAUGGCUCAUAAUCAAUACAGCAUGCUUUGUGACAGAGUAUUUGUAGACUAGAUUUAUAUCAGAAAUUCAACAAAAUUACACAUCAUCACUACCUUAUCCCCUAACAUCAUCUAAAUGUAUAACUUUUAGUAGAUGUAGGGGUCCAUGACCCAGGAAAUUAAAAAAAAAAUCUUUAGAGAUGGAAUGAAAUUAUAUGCAAUAGUAGUGAUUCUGUUCCACUUCUAAUGGGGCUGAAGUGGCCAUGUACCCUCCAGUUACAAAAUCCCAUAGGCUAUUGGAAAAAUGAGUGCAUACCCUCUGGCAUCUGGAUUCCUUCUCUUUGGGAUAUAUUACAGGCCUUCUUUAAACACUUCCCAUAGAAACAUGAAUAAUGUUUCUUGACCUGAAUGUCAUAUAAUCUAAAAAUUGUCUAUAGAUAGAACUUUUUCACUGGUGCCAGGAAAUCAGCUUAGGCUCACUAUAUCCAUUCUAAGCCUCCGAAAGAGAGCUUUAAACUUCUUUGGCAUGCCAAAAGUCUAGGUUUGAAUUAAAUGACUAAUGCUUUACCUAGUUUUUACCACGACUUCUCUCUGCCAGAAUCUUUUCAAUUCAUCCUCAGCCAAAACUGUCAUCCAUCCUGGCAACGUACCUUUUCACCUCCCCACACCUCAUGUCUUUGCUUUUCCAGUCCUUUGGCUGCCCUCCUGUUUCUUCCCUCACAUACUUGUCUGACUGGUUCCUAGAAGCUUGGCUGAGAUUUUUCUCUGCCAUAAAUCUGGCUACCACAAAUUAAGGGCCCGGUGCCCAAACACACCUCUCUCAAUGAAAAUCUAAGUAGAUCUAAUAUAUAAGCAAAGAGAAUACUUCUAUUUUCUUUCUAAAAAUAAAUCAUGCCUUGGCUUUUAAAGGAGAGAAUGAAGAGCAGGUUGACAGAGAAAAUAACUGGUUAGAACAGAGGUUAGGAAAAGACUUGAGGUAAGAAUAGUUACUCAACCAUGAUAAUAUCAGAAAAAGCAACAACCUUAUUUAUCCACAAGGCAGUCCCUCGCCCCAUCCGUAAAGGCUAAUGAGGGCAGUUAUCUUUGUUCUGUGCACUGAUCUAAUCUAAGCCUUCAGAACCGGGGCUGCACAUAGUAGGUGCUCUAGAAAUAUUUGCUGAAUGUUCAAAGACUAAGAGAAUUAAAAACUGAUAAAAAAUGACAAAGGCCACAGCUUCACCAAAUGUUUAGCCUUCCCAAACACAGCCCCAUUGUUCUAUUCUCUUUAUACCCCUAGCCUUCUCCCUUGUUUUU
Molecule: long non-coding RNA, 2079 nt
Organism: Physeter macrocephalus (sperm whale)
Lineage: Eukaryota; Metazoa; Chordata; Mammalia; Artiodactyla; Physeteridae
Exons: 3
Source: RefSeq, a predicted model, not a curated record